This 425-nucleotide ribosomal RNA is filed under the name uncultured bacterium. RNAcentral's name for it is "partial 16S ribosomal RNA". It matches the Rfam family "Bacterial small subunit ribosomal RNA", at positions 354 to 796 of the family's 1533-position model. The record is from RNAcentral.
GUGGGGAAUAUUGCACAAUGGGGGAAACCCUGAUGCAGCAACGCCGCGUGAGUGAUGAAGGCCUUCGGGUUGUAAAGCUCUGUCUUCAGGGACGAUAAUGACGGUACCUGAGGAGGAAGCCACGGCUAACUACGUGCCAGCAGCCGCGGUAAUACGUAGGUGGCAAGCGUUGUCCGGAUUUACUGGGCGUAAAGGGAGCGUAGGCGGACUUUUAAGUGAGAUGUGAAAUACCCGGGCUCAACCUGGGUGCUGCAUUUCAAACUGGAAGUCUAGAGUGCAGGAGAGGAGAAUGGAAUUCCUAGUGUAGCGGUGAAAUGCGUAGAGAUUAGGAAGAACACCAGUGGCGAAGGCGAUUCUCUGGACUGUAACUGACGCUGAGGCUCGAAAGCGUGGGGAGCAAACAGGAUUAGAAACCCCUGUAGUCC